This 65-nucleotide transfer RNA is filed under the name Staphylinidae sp. BMNH 1274245. RNAcentral's name for it is "tRNA-Ile". The record is from RNAcentral. Lineage: Eukaryota; Metazoa; Arthropoda; Insecta; Coleoptera; Staphylinidae.
AAUGAAAUGCCUGAUAAAAGGAUUAUUUUGAUAGAAUAAAUUAUGUAAUUAAAUUACUUUCAUUA